Molecule: long non-coding RNA, 356 nt
Organism: Sarcophilus harrisii (Tasmanian devil)
Lineage: Eukaryota; Metazoa; Chordata; Mammalia; Dasyuromorphia; Dasyuridae
Exons: 3
Source: RefSeq, a predicted model, not a curated record
CAAAAUUUGGACCACAAGGUUUUGUAAAGUGCCCAAGGAUAUAGUUCAUCUGGGGCAGGUGACUUGACUACAUCAAGGACAAGGAAAUGCUCAUUUAUUGUCUCUUUUCCUUGAGUUUCAACUCUCCAUUGGUCAUUUUUGAUUUGUCACUCCCAGAGGAAAUGCCAUUCUUCUGAAUAGAAACAAAAGGAGCAAGGAGGCUAUUUCAAUUGUCUGAGUGAGAGGUGAAGAGGAUCUGAACUUGGGCAGUGGCUGUUCAAGUGGAGAAAAGAAUAUGGAGAUGACUGCAGAGCUACUGCAGCCAGCUCUAAUGAGUUUGUGAGUACUUGACUGUUAAAUUUUCAGUGUGAGCAUCU